Molecule: ribosomal RNA, 217 nt
Filed under: Escherichia coli
Lineage: Bacteria; Pseudomonadati; Pseudomonadota; Gammaproteobacteria; Enterobacterales; Enterobacteriaceae
Also listed under: 2 other names
Description: partial 16S ribosomal RNA
Rfam family: Bacterial small subunit ribosomal RNA
Source: RNAcentral
GAAUCGCUAGUAAUCGUGGAUCAGAAUGCCACGGUGAAUACGUUCCCGGGCCUUGUACACACCGCCCGUCACACCAUGGGAGUGGGUUGCAAAAGAAGUAGGUAGCUUAACCUUCGGGAGGGCGCUUACCACUUUGUGAUUCAUGACUGGGGUGAAGUCGUAACAAGGUAACCGUAGGGGAACCUGCGGUUGGAUCACCUCCUUACCUUAAAGAAGC